This 79-nucleotide ribosomal RNA is filed under the name Crepis lyrata. RNAcentral describes it as "5.8S ribosomal RNA". It matches the Rfam family "5.8S ribosomal RNA", at positions 1 to 75 of the family's 154-position model. Rfam says of the family: 5.8S ribosomal RNA (5.8S rRNA) is a component of the large subunit of the eukaryotic ribosome. It is transcribed by RNA polymerase I as part of the 45S precursor that also contains 18S and 28S rRNA. Functionally, it is thought that 5.8S rRNA may be involved in ribosome translocation. Lineage: Eukaryota; Viridiplantae; Streptophyta; Magnoliopsida; Asterales; Asteraceae. The record is from RNAcentral.
AAACGACUCUCGGCAACGGAUAUCUCGGCUCACGCAUCGAUGAAGAACGUAGCAAAAUGCGAUACUUGGUGUGAAUUGG